Molecule: ribosomal RNA, 420 nt
Filed under: uncultured bacterium
Lineage: Bacteria
Description: bacterial SSU rRNA
Rfam family: Bacterial small subunit ribosomal RNA
Source: RNAcentral
GAGGAAUAUUGGUCAAUGGGCGACAGCCUGAACCAGCCAUCCCGCGUGAAGGAAGAAGGCGCUAUGCGUUGUAAACUUCUUUUCCAGAGGGAUAAAAUGAUGUACGCGUACAUUACUGAAGGUACUCUGGGAAUAAGCAUCGGCUAACUCCGUGCCAGCAGCCGCGGUAAUACGGAGGAUGCGAGCGUUAUCCGGAUUUAUUGGGUUUAAAGGGUGCGUAGGCGGGGCAAUAAGUCAGUGGUGAAAACCUGCAGCUUAACUGUAGACUUGCCGUUGAUACUGUUGUUCUUGAGUAUGGUCAAGGCAGGCGGAAUGUGUAAUGUAGCGGUGAAAUGCUUAGAUAUUACACAGAACACCGAUAGCGAAGGCAGCUUGCUGGGCCGUUACUGACGCUGAUGCACGAAAGCGUGGGGAUCGAAC